RNAcentral lists this long non-coding RNA (1002 nucleotides) under Betta splendens (Siamese fighting fish). Its description in RNAcentral is "lncRNA (ENSBSLG00000023338.1)". Lineage: Eukaryota; Metazoa; Chordata; Actinopteri; Anabantiformes; Osphronemidae. The record is from RNAcentral.
CUGCCGCAGCCCCUGCCGGCCUCCCGGAGGAGGUCGGUCCAGCUCUGUCUCCUGCCGCCCUCCCGGAGGAGGUCGGUCCAGCGCGGUCUCCUGCCGCCCUCCCGGAGGAGAUGGUCGGCCCGCUCCUGGUCCCUGUGUUUUUUGGGCCAAUGUGUGCAGGUGCAGCUCCUGGUGGUCCAGCGCCGACCGCGUUUGCAGCGAUUCCGGCUGAUCUGGCACAGAUCGCAUCUGCCUCAGCUUCUGGUGGUCCGGUCCCGGCCACGCUCGUCUCUGCUCAUGGUGAUCCGGUCCCGACCACGCUCGUCUCAGCUCCUGGUGGUCCGGUCCCGGCCACGCUCGUCUCAGCUCCUGGUGGUCCGGUCCCGGCCACGCUCGUCUCAGUUCCUGGUGGUCCGGUCCCGGCUACGCUCGUCUCAGCUCAUGGUGGUCCGGUCCCGGCCACGCUCAUCUCAGCUCCUGGUGGCCCGGUCCCGGCCACGCUCGUCUCAGCUCCUGGUGGCCCGGUCCCGGCCACGCCCGUCUCCGCUCAUGGUGGUCCGGCGCCUGCAGAAUCUGCAUCGGUUCCUGGCGGCCCGGCUCCGGCCGCGCCUGCAUCGGUUCCUGGUGGCCCGGCUCCGGCCAUGUCUCCACGUCUGCCUCCGUCCGUGGUCCCGGCUCCGUCUCCACGUCUGUUCCCGUCUCUGGUUCCGGCUUCGUCUCCACGUCAGGCCUCGUCUCCACGUCUGUCCUCGUCUCUGGUCCUGGCCUCGUCUCCACGUCUGUCCUCGUCUCUGGUCCUGGCCUCGUCUCCACAUGUGUCCCUGUCUCUGGUUCCGGCUUUGUCUCCACGUCAGGCCUCAUCUCCACGUCUGUCCCCGUCGCUGUUCCCGGCUUUCCGCCGGCUCUCGCCUCACCUGCCUGACGGAGGGUCAGGUCCUUGGCGCAUCCUGUGGCAGGGAUGGCGCUGCCUCCUGCGUCGUCGGCCACCUCGGCUGGCCGGUUCCGGAAGCGAAUCCCUGGCUG